GCCCUUGUCGGAGGAUGAAUCCACCUCGUAUCUUCUUGCUGGUUUAGAAUCAGACUUUGAUCCUUUUGUGACUUCUGUCACCACACGCCUCGACCCAAUGAGCGUAGAAGAGCUAUAUAAUCAUCUCCUUACUCAUGAGA
This is a small nucleolar RNA of Alnus glutinosa, 140 nucleotides long. RefSeq annotates it as small nucleolar RNA Z247. NCBI's taxonomy places the organism in Eukaryota, Viridiplantae, Streptophyta, Magnoliopsida, Fagales, Betulaceae. The transcript has a single exon. The record is from RefSeq and is a predicted model, not a curated record.